This 372-nucleotide ribosomal RNA is filed under the name uncultured organism. RNAcentral's name for it is "partial 16S ribosomal RNA". It matches the Rfam family "Bacterial small subunit ribosomal RNA", at positions 527 to 896 of the family's 1533-position model. The record is from RNAcentral.
GUAGGUGGCAAGCGUUGUCCGGAAUUAUUGGGCGUAAAGCGCGCGCAGGGCGGUCCUUUAAGUCUGAUGUGAAAGCCCACGGCUCAACCGUGGAGGGUCAUUGGAAACUGGGGGACUUGAGUACAGAAGAGGAAAGCGGAAUUCCAAGUGUAGCGGUGAAAUGCGUAGAGAUUUGGAGGAACACCAGUGGCGAAGGCGGCUUUCUGGUCUGUAACUGACGCUGAGGCGCGAAAGCGUGGGGAGCAAACAGGAUUGGAUACCCUGGUAGUCCACGCCGUAAACGAUGAGUGCUAAGUGUUAGGGGGUUUCCGCCCCUUAGUGCUGCAGCUAACGCAUUAAGCACUCCGCCUGGGGAGUACGGCCGCAAGGCUG